RNAcentral lists this ribosomal RNA (1005 nucleotides) under Clostridium sp. T60B28. Its description in RNAcentral is "bacterial SSU rRNA". It matches the Rfam family "Bacterial small subunit ribosomal RNA", at positions 55 to 1078 of the family's 1533-position model. The record is from RNAcentral. Lineage: Bacteria; Bacillati; Bacillota; Clostridia; Eubacteriales; Clostridiaceae.
AUGCAGUCGAGCGAUGAAGCUUCCUUCGGGAAGUGGAUUAGCGGCGGACGGGUGAGUAACACGUGGGUAACCUGCCUCAAAGUGGGGGAUAGCCUUCCGAAAGGAAGAUUAAUACCGCAUAACAUAAGAGAAUCGCAUGAUUUUCUUAUCAAAGAUUUAUUGCUUUGAGAUGGACCCGCGGCGCAUUAGCUAGUUGGUAAGGUAACGGCUUACCAAGGCAACGAUGCGUAGCCGACCUGAGAGGGUGAUCGGCCACAUUGGAACUGAGACACGGUCCAGACUCCUACGGGAGGCAGCAGUGGGGAAUAUUGCGCAAUGGGGGAAACCCUGACGCAGCAACGCCGCGUGGGUGAUGAAGGUCUUCGGAUUGUAAAGCCCUGUUUUCUGGGACGAUAAUGACGGUACCAGAGGAGGAAGCCACGGCUAACUACGUGCCAGCAGCCGCGGUAAUACGUAGGUGGCGAGCGUUGUCCGGAUUUACUGGGCGUAAAGGGUGCGUAGGCGGAUGUUUAAGUGGGAUGUGAAAUCCCCGGGCUUAACCUGGGGGCUGCAUUCCAAACUGGAUAUCUAGAGUGCAGGAGAGGAAAGCGGAAUUCCUAGUGUAGCGGUGAAAUGCGUAGAGAUUAGGAAGAACACCAGUGGCGAAGGCGGCUUUCUGGACUGUAACUGACGCUGAGGCACGAAAGCGUGGGUAGCAAACAGGAUUAGAUACCCUGGUAGUCCACGCCGUAAACGAUGGAUACUAGGUGUAGGGGGUAUCAACUCCCCCUGUGCCGCAGUUAACACAAUAAGUAUCCCGCCUGGGGAGUACGGUCGCAAGAUUAAAACUCAAAGGAAUUGACGGGGGCCCGCACAAGCAGCGGAGCAUGUGGUUUAAUUCGAAGCAACGCGAAAGAACCUUACCUGGACUUGACAUCCCUUGCAUAGCCUAGAGAUAGGUGAAGCCCUUCGGGGCAAGGAGACAGGUGGUGCAUGUUGUCGUCAGCUCGUGUCGUGAGAUGUUAA